GAUGAACGCUGGCGGCGUGCCUAAUACAUGCAAGUAGAACGCUGAAGGAGGAGCUUGCUCUUCUGGAUGAGUUGCGAACGGGUGAGUAACGCGUAGGUAACCUGCCUGGUAGCGGGGGAUAACUAUUGGAAACGAUAGCUAAUACCGCACGACAACAGUUAUUGCAUGAUAACUGUUUAAAAGGGGCAACUGCUCCACUACCAGAUGGACCUGCGUUGUAUUAGCUAGUUGGUGAGGUAACGGCUCACCAAGGCGACGAUACAUAGCCGACCUGAGAGGGUGAUCGGCCACACUGGGACUGAGACACGGCCCAGACUCCUACGGGAGGCAGCAGUAGGGAAUCUUCGGCAAUGGACGGAAGUCUGACCGAGCAACGCCGCGUGAGUGAAGAAGGUUUUCGGAUCGUAAAGCUCUGUUGUAAGAGAAGAACGAGUGUGAGAGUGGAAAGUUCACACUGUGACGGUAUCUUACCAGAAAGGGACGGCUAACUACGUG
RNAcentral lists this ribosomal RNA (495 nucleotides) under uncultured bacterium. Its description in RNAcentral is "partial 16S ribosomal RNA". It matches the Rfam family "Bacterial small subunit ribosomal RNA", at positions 28 to 507 of the family's 1533-position model. The record is from RNAcentral.